This 57-nucleotide small RNA is filed under the name Paramuricea clavata. The record is from RNAcentral. Lineage: Eukaryota; Metazoa; Cnidaria; Anthozoa; Malacalcyonacea; Plexauridae.
UUCCCCCUUUUAAAGAUCUUUAAAAGGGGGAAUUUUAAAGAUCUUUAAAAGGGGGAA